AAAUUGAAGAGUUUGAUCAUGGCUCAGAUUGAACGCUGGCGGCAGGCCUAACACAUGCAAGUCGAACGGUAACAGGAAGCAGCUUGCUGCUUUGCUGACGAGUGGCGGACGGGUGAGUAAUGUCUGGGAAACUGCCUGAUGGAGGGGGAUAACUACUGGAAACGGUGGCUAAUACCGCAUAACGUCGCAAGACCAAAGAGGGGGACCUUCGGGCCUCUUGCCAUCAGAUGUGCCCAGAUGGGAUUAGCUUGUUGGUGAGGUAACGGCUCACCAAGGCGACGAUCCCUAGCUGGUCUGAGAGGAUGACCAGCCACACUGGAACUGAGACACGGUCCAGACUCCUACGGGAGGCAGCAGUGGGGAAUAUUGCACAAUGGGCGCAAGCCUGAUGCAGCCAUGCCGCGUGUAUGAAGAAGGCCUUCGGGUUGUAAAGUACUUUCAGCGGGGAGGAAGGUGUUGUGGUUAAUAACCGCAGCAAUUGACGUUACCCGCAGAAGAAGCACCGGCUAACUCCGUGCCAGCAGCCGCGGUAAUACGGAGGGUGCAAGCGUUAAUCGGAAUUACUGGGCGUAAAGCGCACGCAGGCGGUCUGUCAAGUCGGAUGUGAAAUCCCCGGGCUCAACCUGGGAACUGCAUUCGAAACUGGCAGGCUUGAGUCUUGUAGAGGGGGGUAGAAUUCCAGGUGUAGCGGUGAAAUGCGUAGAGAUCUGGAGGAAUACCGGUGGCGAAGGCGGCCCCCUGGACAAAGACUGACGCUCAGGUGCGAAAGCGUGGGGAGCAAACAGGAUUAGAUACCCUGGUAGUCCACGCCGUAAACGAUGUCUACUUGGAGGUUGUGCCCUUGAGGCGUGGCUUCCGGAGCUAACGCGUUAAGUAGACCGCCUGGGGAGUACGGCCGCAAGGUUAAAACUCAAAUGAAUUGACGGGGGCCCGCACAAGCGGUGGAGCAUGUGGUUUAAUUCGAUGCAACGCGAAGAACCUUACCUGGUCUUGACAUCCACGGAAGUUUUCAGAGAUGGAUUGGUGCCUUCGGGAACCGUGAGACAGGUGCUGCAUGGCUGUCGUCAGCUCGUGUUGUGAAAUGUUGGGUUAAGUCCCGCAACGAGCGCAACCCUUAUCCUUUGUUGCCAGCGGUCCGGCCGGGAACUCAAAGGAGACUGCCAGUGAUAAACUGGAGGAAGGUGGGGAUGACGUCAAGUCAUCAUGGCCCUUACGACCAGGGCUACACACGUGCUACAAUGGCGCAUACAAAGAGAAGCGACCUCGCGAGAGCAAGCGGACCUCAUAAAGUGCGUCGUAGUCCGGAUUGGAGUCUGCAACUCGACUCCAUGAAGUCGGAAUCGCUAGUAAUCGUGGAUCAGAAUGCCACGGUGAAUACGUUCCCGGGCCUUGUACACACCGCCCGUCACACCAUGGGAGUGGGUUGCAAAAGAAGUAGGUAGCUUAACCUUCGGGAGGGCGCUUACCACUUUGUGAUUCAUGACUGGGGUGAAGUCGUAACAAGGUAACCGUAGGGGAACCUGCGGUUGGAUCACCUCCUUACCUUAAAGAAGC
This 1554-nucleotide ribosomal RNA is filed under the name Salmonella enterica subsp. enterica serovar Schwarzengrund. RNAcentral describes it as "bacterial SSU rRNA". It matches the Rfam family "Bacterial small subunit ribosomal RNA". The record is from RNAcentral. Lineage: Bacteria; Pseudomonadati; Pseudomonadota; Gammaproteobacteria; Enterobacterales; Enterobacteriaceae.